UACUAGAGUAGCACUCGCAUAUCAAUAAGCGGAGGAAAAGAAACUAACAAGGAUUCCCCUAGUAACGGCGAGUGAAGCGGGAAGAGCUCAAAUUUGAAAUCUUAAAGGGUUUCCCUUUACGAAUUGUAGUUUAAAGAAGUGUUUUCCUGUUGAGGUUUUGGUAAAAGUUCUUUGGAAUAGGACAUCAUAGAGGGUGAGAAUCCCGUAUUUGACCUUUACUUUCAACUUUGUGAUACACUUUCAAAGAGUCGGAUUGUUUGGGAGUGCAGUCCAAAAUGGGUGGUAAAUUUCAUCUAAAGCUAAAUAUUGGCGAGAGACCGAUAGCGAACAAGUACCGUGAGGGAAAGAUGAAAAGAACUUUGAAAAGAGAGUUAAACAGUACGUGAAAUUGUCAAAAGGGAAGCGUUUGACACCAGUGUUGUUUUUCUGAAAAUCAAUUAAAGAACUGUUUAUGCUAAGUUGUUUAGACUUUAUCAGCUAACUGUUUAGUUUUGAGCUUUUCUUUAAUGCACUUUUCAGUUAACAAGGUCAACAUCAAUUUCUUUUGCUGUAAAAAAGCUUGAGGAAGGUGGCUUGAGAUUCGUCUUAAGUGUUUAUAGCCUCUUGCCUAUGCAGUCGGAGAGAUUGAGGUCUGCAGCGUAGAUCCUUCGGGGCUAAAUGCAUUUGUGCUAAGUUAUAGCAUUUUAUAGACAACUUGUUGACUAUGAUUUGUCUUGUAGCUUACUCGCUUAUGUUAUUUUACCUACGCUUAGGAUGUUGAGCGCAUGUCUCUCUCU
RNAcentral lists this ribosomal RNA (776 nucleotides) under uncultured Neocallimastigales. RNAcentral's name for it is "partial large subunit ribosomal RNA". It matches the Rfam family "Eukaryotic large subunit ribosomal RNA", at positions 20 to 616 of the family's 3401-position model. Lineage: Eukaryota; Fungi; Neocallimastigomycota; Neocallimastigomycetes; Neocallimastigales. The record is from RNAcentral.